CAGCAGUGGGGAAUAUUGCACAAUGGGCGCAAGCCUGAUGCAGCCAUGCCGCGUGUAUGAAGAAGGCCUUCGGGUUGUAAAGUACUUUCAGCAGUGAGGAAGGUGGAUAUGUUAAUAGCAUACUCAUUUGACGUUAGCUGCAGAAGAAGCACCGGCUAACUCCGUGCCAGCAGCCGCGGUAAUACGGAGGGUGCGAGCGUUAAUCGGAAUUACUGGGCGUAAAGCGCAUGCAGGUGGUUUGUUAAGUCAGAUGUAAAAAGCCCGGGGCUCAACCUCGGAAUUGCAUUUGAAACUGGCAAACUAGAGUACUGUAGAGGGGGGUAGAAUUUCAGGUGUAGCGGUGAAAUGCGUAGAGAUCUGAAGGAAUACCGGUGGCGAAGGCGGCCCCCUGGACAGAUACUGACACUCAGAUGCGAAAGCGUGGGGAGCAAACAGGAUUAGAUACCCUGGUAG
RNAcentral lists this ribosomal RNA (453 nucleotides) under uncultured bacterium. Its description in RNAcentral is "bacterial SSU rRNA". It matches the Rfam family "Bacterial small subunit ribosomal RNA", at positions 349 to 793 of the family's 1533-position model. The record is from RNAcentral.